This 399-nucleotide ribosomal RNA is filed under the name Triticum aestivum (bread wheat). RNAcentral describes it as "partial small subunit ribosomal RNA". Lineage: Eukaryota; Viridiplantae; Streptophyta; Magnoliopsida; Poales; Poaceae. The record is from RNAcentral.
AUGGCGACGCCGUGGAGAGCGGCGGCGGCGGCUUGGCCGUGGCGCCGUUCAUGGCCAAGACGUACGGGAUGGUGGACGACCCGGCGACGGACGGCGCCGUUGCGUGGGGGGAGCACCGACAACAGCUUCGUCGUCGCCGACGUCCCCGCCUUGUCGCGCGCGCUCCUCCCCGCGCGCUUCGGCCACGCCAAGUUCGCCAGCUUCGUCCGCCAGCUCAACGCCUACGGCUUCCGCAAGGUCCACCCGGACCGGUGGGAGUUCGCCCACGCCUCCUUUACUUCCUCCUGCGCCACGUCGUCCGCCGCCGGAGCCACAAGCUCAAGGACGACGGCGAAGAGGACGACGGAGGCAGAGGCACGACGACACUGCUGGUCAUGGAUCCAGAGGUUGUCUGGCUGA